Molecule: non-coding RNA, 3847 nt
Filed under: Pongo abelii (Sumatran orangutan)
Lineage: Eukaryota; Metazoa; Chordata; Mammalia; Primates; Hominidae
Source: RNAcentral
GGCCUCCCUCCGCCUCUAGCUGACCACAUUUCUGGGGCCGGUCUCAUUUGCUUACGCUAAAGUGGACCUAUGGGGUCAAAGGGCAUUACAGGCUUUUUGGCAGAUGCAGCUGAAGGACCUCUGGAAGGACUGUGCCAACGCAUGCACCAGCCUGCGUGGUCCCCCAUCCCUGUGGCUGGUGAUCCUGGGGUGACACCCUGAUCCAGACUCUGUCUUUAUCCCGUAAUAGAGGAGAAGGCACGUCACUGCCACAGGUGCCUUUCCUCCCAUGCCACAGCAAGAUGCAGACAAGCCACCCUCCCCAGACACACCCACUGCACGCUGCAGCAGGGCCCAGGGAGUUGAAUGUUCAGUCCAGGCCUCGCCCCCGUGGCUCAGUGAGACGCAGGGGGCCACACAGAAAUGCCAGAGGCAGCCUUCAAUGAGGAAAAGUCUAUAAGGCCCCAAAAGGCCUGGAUGCUUCAAGUCCAAGCACUCGGGGAUGGCGGAGGGAAGGUGCCGCCCUCAUCACAGGCUGGGCAUGGCUUCCCAGGGGGGAUGCCAGGGACAGGCUCCAGAUGUUUGGAGCCUCAGCGUGCCCAAUGCUACUAGGUCAGACCUGGCUUUCACCUCCACAGUCCUUAAGAGCUGGUUCAAGACUGGGGUAUGAAUGAACCUUACCUCCGACCCACUGAGCAGAGCGUGCCACGUCCUACCUGAGCCUGCUGCCUGAGCCUCAUGCCCCAAUGAGCAGAGCGUGCCGGGGGCUUGUGGGGGCUCAGGAAGACGGGUCCUACCCAAGACUGCCACCUGAGUCUCACGCUGCAGCCCAGAGGUAGGACAGCACCGCAGCCCCUCUUGAAGAACCCAGGGUCACCAAGGUCUGCUUGGACAAUGGGCUGGCUGCCACGCCCCGACCCUGCCCAUGCCACCCAGGGCCUCCCCAGCCCUGCCACUCACCAUAUGCUUCCUGCAGGUCAGCGGGACGAGGCCGUGGCAGCGCUUAUGGACCAGCAGUUUGCAGUUGAUGCACCUGUAGCCUUGCCUCGCGAGGCCCCAUAUCCUCUCGCUGCACUGACCGCAGUACGCUCUCUGCAGGCGGGAACAGAGCAUCAGGCCCAGGCCACGCUGAGGGGCCAGCGGAGAGGACAGGCAGGGCCUUCCACACCUGUACCUUCUCAAAAGAGGACACUCAGCUGGGCAACAGGCGGCCCCGGCACCUUGUCCCUUCCGGGCGCCAGGCUUGCCCAAGCUCGAUAGCCUCCUCUUGGGUCUAUCCCAAGGUUGGGGGAACCAACGGCUCCAAGGAGAGGCCUGGAACCCUGGUCUGCAUGAGGGGACACAGGGGAGGUGCCAUCGGGCAGGGGUGAUGAGGUGCUGCUUCACGCAAGGCCCCCUGGCUUGCAGGGGCUGGGGGGCUGCAGCUCCUGCUGGGCUCUGCAUAGAGCAGCCCGGGGUCCCGUCUAGGGCUAAGCAGAGUGUGUGGGGGCACCCCCUGCCUGACCUUCAUUCAAACAGAACCUCCUCCCGACAGCCUCAGGGAAGGGGAACUCGGACCCAUGAACACUGAACUGCUACACGGCAGCCUGCAAUUAUCUUGGUAUUCUUUGUUCAGUAUUUUUCAAGAUUUUAAAGGAUCCUUCUUUAUUCUUCAUGGUACUGAACAAUUCGGAAAUGAUGGUAAUUAUCAGCUUGUUUGGCGAUGUUUUCAUCAACAUUUAAAUGUUAUGAAAGGCACGAGAAUGAAUGUUGUCGGGACCUGCUUGGACAUUUUCUGCCUUGCCUAAGUGCCCGAAGUGUUCCUGGGAGUAAAGGGGCGCAUCUGCACUGUCACCGCAUGCCCAGAGCCUCCAAUUCAGAUUCUUUCCAGACAUGACCCUUUCAUAUGCUUUUCCCUCUUUUACCAUUUUUCACAAAUUUCCUUCCUAUUACAGAGCUCACCUCACACCUGAGUUAAGAAGAGGAAAUAUAGCCUGUAAUCCCAGCACUUUGGGAGGCCGAGGUGGGCGGAUCACGCGGUCAGGAGAUCGAGACCAUCCUGGCUAACACGGUGAAACCCCAUCUCUACUAAAAAUACAAAAAAAUUAGCCAGGCAUGGUGGCGGGCACCUGUAGUCCCAGCUACUCGGGAGGCUGAGGCAGGAGAAUGGCGUGAAUCCAGGAGGCGGAUCUUGCAGUGAGCCGAGAUUGCGUCACUGCACUCCAGCCUGGGCGACAGUGAGACUCCGUCUCAAAAAAAAAAAAAAAAAAAGAAGAGGAAAUACAGUGUACUGUGAACAGCCUGCACUGAAUUCACAUGAGGAAACAGGACUGAAGAGAAAAUACAGCAGAGUUCACGUGAGGAAACAGGGGACCCUCAGCAUGUGUGAGCAUCAGGUGCGGCUGAGCAAAGGGGGUCCACACCCCCUACGGGACUCUCCCGCUCAUCAGAAGAGCCUGCUUGGGACGCCAGGGCCUGGGGACCCUCCCCCCACCCACACAGCCUGCUUGUUUGGGUAGGGCUGGAUGACCAGCACCUAGGACAGUGCCCAGCACACAGUGGGCAUCGGGUAAGAAAACACACAUGCAUCAUUGCUUUUAACUUCAUAACAGGAAAAAGGAGCAGACUCCACAUCCUCCUACAUCAGCUGAUGCUACCUACAUCAGCCCGGCCAUGACAGAGCCACACCAGGACCGUAGGCUCUAUUUGAAGGAGGGAUGGGUGAGAGGGGGCAUCCCACCCAAGACCUCUGACUCGGGCCAAUCUAGUUUAACGCCGGCAUUAGGAGUUUUGCCCCAGUUGGCACCUGCUGGAUGUGUGGACCCUGGAGUGAAAGGAGGUGCUUCAGCUGCUGAAUGCCUGGACCCUGGAGUGAAAGAAGGCGCUUCGGCUGCUGGAUGUGUGGACCCUGGAGUGAAAGGAGGCGCUUCGGCUGCUGGAUGUGUGGACCCUGGAGUGAAAGGAGGCGCUUCAGCCGCUGAAUGCCUGGACCUUGGAGUGAAAGGAGGCGCUUCGGCUGCUGGAUGUGUGGACCCUGGAGUUAAAGGAGGUGCUUCAGCUGCUGAAUGCCUGGACCCUGGAGUGAAAGGAGGCGUUUUGGCUGCUGGAUGUGUGGACCCUGGAGUGAAAGGAGGCGCUUUGGCUGUGCAGACCUGCUCCAUUCUCCUCUGCGUCCACAGCGCAGAAGAACACCAGCUUCCAUUUCUAAAACCAUUAUUUAAAAGUCAAGUUUUUUUGGUAUAAUGUGCCUAAUGUGUUUGGCUUUCUCUAGGUCACCAUUUAACAUCUUACUCUGCAACGCUAGGGUCCUAUUUAAGACCAAAUUCACAGCCACCAGGUAUCUUUACAAAUUAACCAAGGUUGGCCAGGCACAGUGGCUCAUGCCUGUAAUCCCAGCACUUUGGGAGGCCAAGGUGGGCGGAUCACUUGAGGUCAGGAGUUCGAGACCAGCCUGACCAACAUGGAGAAACCCCAUCUCUACUAAAAGUACAAAAAUUAGCUGGGUGUGGUGGCGCACAUCUGUAAUCCCAGCUACUCGGGAGGCUGAAGCAGGAGAAUCGCUUGAAACCAGGAGGCAGAGGUUGCAGUGAGCCGAGAUCACGCCACUGCACUCCAGCCUGGGCAACAGAGUGAGACUGUGUCUCAAAAAACAAAAAACAAAUGGAUCCAAGGUUCCUUUCCGUGGGGAGCCACCCUUACCUGGGGUCAGGCCAGGACAUCUGCUGACAAGGGCAGUGUGAAUCUGCGAAGGGCUGGCACCCACCACAGAGACCUCACGUGUGUGCUUUGUAGGUGAGGCUGCCCAAGCUCUGUCAAAAGCUCUUGUUUCAAAUCUGUAUUUGAAUUAGUAACAUUUCAGGAAAUGUGACAUUAAAAAAAUAAACCUAAA